AUUGAACGCUGGCGGAAUGCUUUACACAUGCAAGUCGAACGGCAGCACGGGGGCAACCCUGGUGGCGAGUGGCGAACGGGUGAGUAAUACAUCGGAACGUGCCCAGUCGUGGGGGAUAACGUAGCGAAAGCUACGCUAAUACCGCAUACGAUCUACGGAUGAAAGCGGGGGAUCGCAAGACCUCGCGCGAUUGGAGCGGCCGAUGGCAGAUUAGGUAGUUGGUGGGGUAAAGGCUCACCAAGCCUUCGAUCUGUAGCUGGUCUGAGAGGACGACCAGCCACACUGGGACUGAGACACGGCCCAGACUCCUACGGGAGGCAGCAGUGGGGAAUUUUGGACAAUGGGCGAAAGCCUGAUCCAGCCAUUCCGCGUGCAGGAUGAAGGCCCUCGGGUUGUAAACUGCUUUUGUACGGAACGAAACGGCCUUUUCUAAUACAGAGGGCUAAUGACGAUACCGUAAGAAUAAGCACCGGCUAACUACGUGCCAGCAGCCGCGGU
This 498-nucleotide ribosomal RNA is filed under the name uncultured bacterium. RNAcentral describes it as "bacterial SSU rRNA". It matches the Rfam family "Bacterial small subunit ribosomal RNA", at positions 30 to 521 of the family's 1533-position model. The record is from RNAcentral.